Molecule: ribosomal RNA, 675 nt
Filed under: uncultured Actinomycetes bacterium
Lineage: Bacteria; Bacillati; Actinomycetota; Actinomycetes
Description: bacterial SSU rRNA
Rfam family: Bacterial small subunit ribosomal RNA
Source: RNAcentral
GUAACUGACGCUGAGGAGCGAAAGCGUGGGGAGCGAACAGGAUUAGAUAGCCUGGUAGUCCACGCCGUAAACGGUGGGUACUAGGUGUGGGUUUCCUUCCUUGGGAUCCGUGCCGUAGCUAACGCAUUAAGUACCCCGCCUGGGGAGUACGGCCGCAAGGCUAAAACUCAAAGAAAUUGACGGGGGCCCGCACAAGCGGCGGAGCAUGUGGAUUAAUUCGAUGCAACGCGAAGAACCUUACCUGGGUUUGACAUGCACAGGACGCCGGCAGAGAUGUCGGUUCCCUUGUGGCCUGUGUGCAGGUGGUGCAUGGCUGUCGUCAGCUCGUGUCGUGAGAUGUUGGGUUAAGUCCCGCAACGAGCGCAACCCUUGUCUCAUGUUGCCAGCACGUAAUGGUGGGGACUCGUGAGAGACUGCCGGGGUCAACUCGGAGGAAGGUGGGGAUGACGUCAAGUCAUCAUGCCCCUUAUGUCCAGGGCUUCACACAUGCUACAAUGGCCGGUACAAAGGGCUGCGAUGCCGUGAGGUGGAGCGAAUCCUUGUUAAAGCCGGUCUCAGUUCGGAUCGGGGUCUGCAACUCGACCCCGUGAAGUCGGAGUCGCUAGUAAUCGCAGAUCAGCAACGCUGCGGUGAAUACGUUCCCGGGCCUUGUACACACCGCCCGUCACGUCAUGA